Molecule: ribosomal RNA, 481 nt
Filed under: uncultured bacterium
Lineage: Bacteria
Description: partial 16S ribosomal RNA
Rfam family: Bacterial small subunit ribosomal RNA
Source: RNAcentral
GAUGAACGCUGGCGGCGUGCUUAACACAUGCAAGUCGAACGAAGCAUUUGCGACAGAUUUUUUCGGAAUGAAGUUGCUUAUGACUGAGUGGCGGACGGGUGAGUAACGCGUGGGUAACCUGCCGUGUACUGGGGGAUAGCAGCUGGAAACGGCUGGUAAUACCGCAUAAGCGCACAAUGUUGCAUGACAUGGUGUGAAAAACUCCGGUGGUAUAAGAUGGACCCGCGUCUGAUUAGCUAGUUGGUGAGAUAACAGCCCACCAAGGCGACGAUCAGUAGCCGACCUGAGAGGGUGACCGGCCACAUUGGGACUGAGACACGGCCCAGACUCCUACGGGAGGCAGCAGUGGGGAAUAUUGCACAAUGGAGGAAACUCUGAUGCAGCGACGCCGCGUGAGUGAAGAAGUAAUGCGUUAUGUAAAGCUCUAUCAGCAGGGAAGAUAGUGACGGUACCUGAAUAAGAAGCUCCGGCUAAAUACGUG